CAGCAGCCGCGGGAAUACGAAGGGUGCAAGCGUUAAUCGGAAUUACUGGGCGUAAAGCGUGCGUAGGCGGUCUGUUAAGUCUGUUGUGAAAUCCCCGGGCUCAACCUGGGAAUGGCAAUGGAUACUGGCAAGCUAGAGUGUGUCAGAGGAUGGUGGAAUUCCCGGUGUAGCGGUGAAAUGCGUAGAGAUCGGGAGGAACAUCAGUGGCGAAGGCGGCCAUCUGGGACAACACUGACGCUGAGGCACGAAAGCGUGGGGAGCAAACAGGAUUAGAUACCCCCGUAGUCCCUGUCUCUUAUAC
RNAcentral lists this ribosomal RNA (301 nucleotides) under uncultured bacterium. Its description in RNAcentral is "partial 16S ribosomal RNA". It matches the Rfam family "Bacterial small subunit ribosomal RNA", at positions 509 to 807 of the family's 1533-position model. The record is from RNAcentral.